Molecule: long non-coding RNA, 1229 nt
Organism: Xenopus laevis (African clawed frog)
Lineage: Eukaryota; Metazoa; Chordata; Amphibia; Anura; Pipidae
Exons: 3
Source: RefSeq, a predicted model, not a curated record
GAUUUGGCGACCAGUCUUUACUCUGCGCAGUACGUGCGCGGCCCCGGCAGUACUCCUCCUCCUCCAAGGACUUCCGGCAGGAACCCGGAAGUCAGAAGAGCAGCCGGCAAGUGCAAAAGUUCUUCUUGCUGUGUAUUUUAUUUUUUUAAGACGAGUUGGUGAGGGGAGUGAACAGUAGCGCGAGAGCAGCGACGGUGAGAGGAACACGCUACGAAAGAAGACUGGUGAGAGAGGAACAUGGAGGGGGGAGGAAAGUUGAAAUCUGAGCAGUGAGAGGCACACAGGGGGGAGAAGGCUGCACUGACAGGGACGCUAAGGAAAGGAGCCGGUAGUAAGAGGAACAUGGAGAGGGAGGAAACGAAAAAGGCAGCAGUGAGAGGAACACAGAGGAGGGGGAGGAAAAAGCUGGGUGACGGAAAAAAAUGAGAGGAACACAGAGGGGGGAGGCUGCAAUUGAAAGGGGACGCUAAGGAAAGGAGACGCAGUGUGAGAGGAACAUGGAGGAAACAAGAAGGCUGGAUGAGGGAACGGCAGUGAGAGGAACAGGGGGGGAGAAUGCUGCACUGAAAGUGGACGCUCAGAAAAGAAAAGGCUGGGUGAGGGAAUGUCUGUGAGAGGAACAUGGAGGGGUAAAGCUACUUGAAAGGAGGCAAAGGCUGUGGUGACAGGAACACGGGGAAAGCUGCAUGGACAGACGCCGAGGGAACAUGCAGUGAGAGAGGAAGUGAUGUCAUGAAGACCCGGAAGAGGCACACAGCUAUGCGCACGUAGAGGAGAAGAAGGAAGAUGAAGCUAGAAGAUGGCGGAGACCCUUUGGAUGCCGUGGGACAGCUUCGGUUUGAUUUUUUUCGGCUGUCUUACUGAAACAGCAGGAAAGAGCAGUAUAUUGGGGCCAAAGAAAUUCAAAUUCAAAGCAGGUGGAAGCACAUUAGAGAUUGCUUUCGUAGGGAAGUGUCUGCCCAGAAGACAGAUACACAAAGUGGUGCAUCGCCAUCAAAAAGAAAGAAGUAUGUUUAUGCUGACGAAUUGAAAUUUGUACUACUUUCUUUUGCUAAGAGACAGAUGAAGAAAUAGAGACAGAGAAUCCAGAAACUGCUUCAUCAGACAAACCAACUACCAGCACUGUCACCCCACUUGGUACUUCUACCAGCACUGUUACCCCACCUGGCACUUCUACCAGCACUGUUACCCCACCUGGCACUUCUACCAGCACUGUCUCCCCACCUGCA